This 518-nucleotide long non-coding RNA is filed under the name Gossypium barbadense (sea-island cotton). RNAcentral describes it as "long non-coding RNA (GBAR_LNC004099)". The record is from RNAcentral. Lineage: Eukaryota; Viridiplantae; Streptophyta; Magnoliopsida; Malvales; Malvaceae.
CGAUUUGAGCUUAUUUUAAAAAAAAUGUUAAAAUCGCAAAAAGAAAAGGAGAACCCUUCGGUGUUAGGGUUUUUUUAAAAAAGGGUCACCUUUCAUCGGAAGUGAUGGCCUCGACCACUCAUGGCAACAGAACGCAAAUCAUCAAGUACAUUUUUUGAAAUUUUUCCUUUUCAUUUUAUGUUUUAUUUAUAAAAAUAAAUUCGUAAAAAAUAAAAGAGGAAAAAUAUCACCUUUGGAAUUUUGAAUUCUAUUUUUGAUUAAUCUCUUCUAUGUAAAAGAAUACAUGGUGGAUCUGGCUUUUAUAGCCGAAUAAUAAAUUAGAUCUUGAUUUUUCUAUGUAUUUUUAAUAUUUCUACUAUUUUUGCUAUGCUAUUUCUCUGCUGUUGUUGUCUUUUUUUGUUCUUUUUGCAGGAACUGGCGCGCGGUCAACAGAGAGUAGAGAAGGGCUGCCUUUUCCAUUUUGGUGCAAUGGCGGCAGGGGUGUUAGGCCUUGGAACGAGGCGCAGGCGGCAUGACUG